GAGGAUUCAGGAGGCCUUCGAUAUGUGGUACACUGGACCAACAGGUUUGACUCAAAUUCCAUGAGAGAUUUUUACCUUUCUUCAGUGGCAGCUGGAGGCAGGCAGGUGUCCAUGUUUAGGCAGCUGGACCUGGCCCAUAUUGACCAUUGCAAUGAAUACACUUUGAGGAUGGAUCUCAAAUCAGUGGGCUGACAUAUCAGAUUUCUGUCAGCACGGUCAGUCAGUCUCUUGAAAUGCCUUAUGGGCACAGCAGAUGAUUCAACGUAUAAGAGAGAUAUUGGGAAGCUGAAAUCUGACUAUGUGGCUGCCAUUGGGAUAAAAAUGCUUCAGGUGAUUUUCCCUGCAACUGUCAUCCCACAGAUGACAGCAGACUAUGAGAUAGGAGACAUCAGAACCCAUAGAUCCAAUCCUUGUUGCUUCAUGGUUGAGAGGAAAACGCAAGUUACCUAUGAAGUCCCAGAGCAGACUGUUUAAUGGAUUUUGAUGAUGUAAACAGUGAAAGGUUAGAUAAUUUGGAUACUAAUGAUCUCUUGACAGUCCUUUGUGGGGAACCCCUUUGUCUAGUCCCAUGCAAGUUUGACAUGGACUUUCUGAGACUCUGUCUUGGACUGUCUGAAACUAGUCAUCUCAGUACCACUGAGUGGUAGGAUUUCAUAGUCUGAAAGCACCUUACUCAAGAGCUUUGUUCCACCUUAGCAGGCUGAAAAGGUCAAUAUUAUAAUACCACCACAGCUCAAAUUGUGCAACAGCUGUCCAGGAAUGCAAAGAAGAAAGGGAACCACUGACUUCUCACUCCAUAACCCCACAAAGCCCCAGAUUGUGUGUGGCCACAUGGAUACAGUACCAUUCCUGCUCUGCCUGCUGAGUCAGGAUGCUCUGCCAAUGGAGGCCUUGGAAAGAAGAGACAAAUUCAGCCACCAUCUGGAAACAAGCUGUGAAGGAAACACCUUCUCCAUAAGAAAAUGGAAAAGAAACAGGAGGCCAACUGAAUUCAAAAAACACAUCAAACUGAAGUUUCAUUUCAAUCAAAAAGAAAGGUAGGUGAAAAUUGUGCAUGUGAAAAUACUGUGGGAUGAUAUAGAGGGUAGAGGGUUUGUCCAGCAUAGUUAGUGGUUUUUAACCUGUGACACCUAGACUCCUGGGAACUGUAAAUUCUGUCAUAAGAAUGUAAAAUGGGAAAUUAAGAAAAGCCGGGCAAUUAUUUGUCAAUAAGCUUCAAUUUUUCUGUAUGCUACUGAAAAAUGGCUAAGCUUCCAGAAGUAGAAAUGGUUGAAAACCACAUCUCUAGUACAUUAGCUUAUCCCUGUAGGAAUGUUUGAAUGGGUUGAACUGUAUUUGGUAUAGCUGUCUUCAGGUUACAAGGUCAUGCUUUGACUAGACCUGUCCUUUAAUGAACCAGAACUCUCUGAAUUUAUUCCAGGUAGGAUUGCUAGUUUAAAAACAAACAAACGAACAAAAC
This 1459-nucleotide long non-coding RNA is filed under the name Anser brachyrhynchus (Pink-footed goose). Its description in RNAcentral is "lncRNA (ENSABRG00000016310.1)". The record is from RNAcentral. Lineage: Eukaryota; Metazoa; Chordata; Aves; Anseriformes; Anatidae.